GCUUGCCAUCCCGUGCCUAUCUGUGAAAGCAGGAGUCUGCCUUCGGNCACACGGAGCACAGGUGGUGCAUGGUUGUCGUCAGCUCUGUGUCGUGAGAUGUUGGAUUAAGUCCCGCAACGAGCUCAACUCCCUGUCCUUAGUUACCAGCGAGUAAAGUCGNNNACUCUAAGGAGACAGCCGGUGAAAGCCGNAGCUAGGUGNGGAUGACGUCAAAUCAUCAUGCCCUUUAUGUCUCGNNCUACACACGUGCUACAAUGNUCAGUACAGAGGGAAGCGAAGUGGUGACAUGAAGCCAAUCUCAGAAAGCUGAUCCCAGUUCGNAUUGCAGGCUGCANCCUCGCCUGCAUNAAGCCGGAAUCGCUAGUAAUCGCAGGUCAGCAUACUGCGGUGAAUACGUUCCCGGGCCUUGCACACACCGUCCGU
This 423-nucleotide ribosomal RNA is filed under the name uncultured bacterium. Its description in RNAcentral is "partial 16S ribosomal RNA". It matches the Rfam family "Bacterial small subunit ribosomal RNA", at positions 979 to 1397 of the family's 1533-position model. The record is from RNAcentral.